AAUAAGAUGCCUGAUAUUAAAAGGACUAUUUUGAUAGAAUAGAUAAUGUAUAAAUUUAAUACUCUUAUUA
RNAcentral lists this transfer RNA (70 nucleotides) under Catacanthus incarnatus. Its description in RNAcentral is "tRNA-Ile". The record is from RNAcentral. Lineage: Eukaryota; Metazoa; Arthropoda; Insecta; Hemiptera; Pentatomidae.